Molecule: long non-coding RNA, 309 nt
Organism: Symphalangus syndactylus (siamang)
Lineage: Eukaryota; Metazoa; Chordata; Mammalia; Primates; Hylobatidae
Source: RefSeq, a predicted model, not a curated record
AAGAGAACUGGAAUUUGGAGGAAAACUUCAGCUCUUUUCACUGGGAAGUAUGUCCAUGGAGGUCCUCAUGCUGUCACGGUGGAAGUGAAAGCCUUGAAUCUAAAUAUGAAAUUAAAGGUCAGUCAGCCUCAUGUGCAUGAGUCCUCAGGAAUCAAGCAGGCAAAGAAAUUAGAUUGUUAGGGCCCUUCAGAGAACACAAAGAUGUUUUAUGACUUCCGGAAAAAGGGUUGCCAUUAACAAACUGGAUGUCUUAACCAAGAGAAAUUUGUUGUCUUCCAGUUCCAGAGUCUAGAAAUCCAAGAUUAAGAU